GAUGAACGCUCGCUACAGGCUUAACACAUGCAAGUCGAGGGGCAGCAUGACCUAGCAAUAGGUUGAUGGCGACCGGCGCACGGGUGAGUAACACGUAUCCAACCUGCCGAUUAUUCCGGGAUAGCCUUUCGAAAGAAAGAUUAAUACUGGACAGCAUAACGAGAAGGCAUCUUCUUGUUAUUAAAGAAUUUCGAUAAUCGAUGGGGAUGCGUUCCAUUAGUUUGUUGGCGGGGUAACGGCCCACCAAGACAUCGAUGGAUAGGGGUUCUGAGAGGAAGGUCCCCCACAUUGGAACUGAGACACGGUCCAAACUCCUACGGGAGGCAGCAGUGAGGAAUAUUGGUCAAUGGACGAGAGUCUGAACCAGCCAAGUAGCGUGAAGGAUGACUGCCCUAUGGGUUGUAAACUUCUUUUAUAUGGGAAUAAAGUGGGCCACGUGUGGCUUUUUGUAUGUACCAUACGAAUAAGGAUCGGCUAACUCCGUG
This 485-nucleotide ribosomal RNA is filed under the name uncultured bacterium. Its description in RNAcentral is "partial 16S ribosomal RNA". It matches the Rfam family "Bacterial small subunit ribosomal RNA", at positions 28 to 507 of the family's 1533-position model. The record is from RNAcentral.